This 253-nucleotide ribosomal RNA is filed under the name uncultured bacterium. RNAcentral describes it as "partial 16S ribosomal RNA". It matches the Rfam family "Bacterial small subunit ribosomal RNA", at positions 524 to 776 of the family's 1533-position model. The record is from RNAcentral.
UACGGAGGGUGCAAGCGUUGUCCGGAAUUACUGGGCGUAAAGGGCGCGUAGGCGGCCUGGUAAGUAGGGGGUGAAAUCCUGCGGCUUAACCGCAGGGCUGCCUUCUAAACUGUCAGGCUUGAGCACGGUAGAGGCAGAUGGAAUUCCCGGUGUAGCGGUGGAAUGCGUAGAGAUCGGGAAGAACACCAGUGGCGAAGGCGGCGAUCUGGGAAGAUACUGACGCUGAGGUGCGAAAGCGUGGGGAGCAAACAGG